Long non-coding RNA from Felis catus (domestic cat), 1827 nucleotides. RefSeq lists it as uncharacterized. The transcript is spliced from 3 exons. The record is from RefSeq and is a predicted model, not a curated record. NCBI's taxonomy places the organism in Eukaryota, Metazoa, Chordata, Mammalia, Carnivora, Felidae.
CAGCCCUUACCCGCCGCGCUCCCCCACCAGGUGGCACGGCCCCCCGCCGCCGCGCGCGCCCCAGCCGCCCCGGGGCCCCGCGCUCCUUACCAGCUGCUCCUGCAGCGCCGCCAGCGCCGCCUCCAGCCGCAGCUCGCGCGCGCGGGGGCCGCGGGGGUGCUCGGGGCGCGCGGGCCCGGCCGGGGGGUGCAGGGCCAGGGCGCCCCGCACGCGCGCCUGCUGCGUGUCGCGCAGCCCCUGCAGCUCGUGCAGCCCCGCGAGCGCCGCGCGCAGCCGGGCGCCCACCCUGCGGCGGUCCCAGCCCGCGGGCCCCGGCGGGCCCCCCGGCGCCCACAUCCCGCGCCCGGCCCGCCCCGCGCCUGUCCGGCCUCCCCCGGCCUCCCGGAGCCUCCUCCGAGCCUCCCGGCCGCGCGCGCGGCCUCCUGCGCCGCCUCUCCCCGCCCCCGCCCCGCAGGUCGCCAAGGUGGGGUGGGACCUAUCGGUGGCCGCGGAGGGCGGUGUUUGCGCACGCCCCGAGGUCACAGCGGCCGCCCCCGGGCCCGCCCCGUCGACGGAGCCCCGCGCCCUCGGGGACCCUGGGACCCAAGCUCUCCCUGGAGGCCGGAGGGGACCGAAGGAAAAGGGGGAGCCCAGCAGCAGAGCCGCAAAGGGCCGGAGGGGGAACACGGUGAAAGACCUCAGAGUGGCACUGAUGGGUCGUAGGUAACUACUGAGAGCCACCUCUUGAAGGACGACCAGACUGCUUUCUGAAGCGGCUGCGCCAUUUUGCAUUGUCACCGGCACCGUAUGGAGGGUCCAGUUCUGCCACGCGGAGGCCGGCAUUUGUCCUUCUGGCUACAACCGUCUGUGCUCGGAGCUCAUUUGUGGUGACAAGAACUUGUACCUGGAGAAACACUGGGUCCUGCCCCAUCUUAGAUUGUGUGCACAGUCUUAACGCUGAGAACAAAGCGUGGGGUUGCCUUUCCUGCUUGGACGACAUCUGUGUUCGGCACUUUCUGCAGAGGACAGUGAGCGCGACUCUCGUGGACUGGCUUUCGAGAGGGGAAGUCGUGGAUACAAUCUCAGGGUGUCCUAGAAUAUGAGAGAGAAAAGGAACUUUAGCGACCAUGUCUAUUGUCUAUUGUCACCAUUGUCUCCUGUCCCUCGUGUCAGAGGUGGGAAAGAGGCCCGAAGAGUUCAUUUUAACUGACUUGUCUAACCCUCUCCCCAUUUCUCAUUGUGAAAUCAGGACAAUAGUGGACUCUGUUCUCUCUCACACACAAGAGAAAUGUGUCCUCUAUCACAGGUGCCCCCUGAGAAUGGGUUUGAGCCCAGGGGACACUUUUGGGCCCAGCGGGAAGGACUGACUUAGGUCUUCACAUUGGGUUUGCACCCUGGCCCCAGGCUCCCUCACAGACGGUCUGUAUUAUUUUUGGCUUUCUCACCGUUCACCUUAUUCCUGUUUUAUUGCUCCUAUCCUUCAUUUUCCAUGAACUUGAAAUCCUUGUCCAUUUUUGAGGAACUUUAUCUUUCUCUGUUUACACCCGGAGAGAACAUGGUUUCCUGGGUUCCUGGAGAGCCAGUCAGAAUCUGGGUGUGUUUGUCGGGAAUCCAGCGUCCUCAGCCAAUGCGUCUGACUCUCCCAACCGGCAAACCUGCUGCUACUUGUUAUUUUUCACUACGUAAGCAACAUCCUCCACGUUUUGUCACAUAAGGACACAGACCGGCCAAAAAGAGGGAGAGCUUUUGAGUUUUACCCCUUUAUCAUCUGUUCUUUUUCUUUUUAAAAAAAUUUUUUUAAUGUUUAUUUUACUUUUGAGAGAGAGAGAGAGAGAGCAUAAGCAGGGA